GAUGAACGCUGGCGGCGUGCCUAAUACAUGCAAGUCGAGCGAACAGAUAAGGAGCUUGCUCCUUUGACGUUAGCGGCGGACGGGUGAGUAACACGUGGGUAACCUACCUAUAAGACUGGGAAACUUCGGGAAACCGGAGCUAAUACCGGAAAACAUUUGGAACCGCCAGGUUCUUAAGUGAAAGAUGGGUUUGCUUUCACUUAUAGAUGGACCCGCGCCGUAUUAGCUAGUUGGUAAGGUAACGGCUUACCAAGGCGACGAUACGUAGCCGACCUGAGAGGGUGAUCGGCCACACUGGAACUGAGACACGGUCCAGACUCCUACGGGAGGCAGCAGUAGGGAAUCUUCCGCAAUAGGCGAAAGCCUGACGGAGCAACGCCGCGUGAGUGAUGAAGGGUUUCGGCUCGUAAAACUCUGUUAUUAGGGAAGAACAAAUGUGUAAGUAACUGUGCACGUCUUGACGGUACCUAAUCAGAAAGCCACGGCUAACUACGUG
Molecule: ribosomal RNA, 496 nt
Filed under: uncultured bacterium
Lineage: Bacteria
Description: partial 16S ribosomal RNA
Rfam family: Bacterial small subunit ribosomal RNA
Source: RNAcentral